This 72-nucleotide transfer RNA is filed under the name Camelus bactrianus (Bactrian camel). It matches the Rfam family "tRNA". Rfam says of the family: Transfer RNA (tRNA) molecules are approximately 80 nucleotides in length. Their secondary structure includes four short double-helical elements and three loops (D, anti-codon, and T loops). Lineage: Eukaryota; Metazoa; Chordata; Mammalia; Artiodactyla; Camelidae. The record is from Rfam by way of RNAcentral. RNAcentral also lists the same sequence under 2 other names.
GAGGGUACAGCUCAGUGGUAGAGCAUGUGCUUAGCAUGAACAAGGUCCUGGGUUCAAUCUCCAGUACCUCCA